AGAGUUUGAUCAUGGCUCAGGACGAACGCUGGCGGCGUGCCUAAUACAUGCAAGUCGAACGAGAAUUUCUUACACCGAGUGCUUGCACUCACCGUAAGAAAUUCGAGUGGCGGACGGGUGAGUAACACGUGGGUAACCUGCCCAAAAGAAGGGGAUAACAUUUGGAAACAAAUGCUAAUACCGUAUAACCAUGAUGACCGCAUGGUCAUUAUGUAAAAGGUGGUUUUGCUAUCGCUUUUGGAUGGACCCGCGGCGUAUUAACUAGUUGGUAGGGUAACGGCCUACCAAGGUGAUGAUACGUAGCCGAGUUGAGAGACUGAUCGGCCACAAUGGGACUGAGACACGGCCCAUACUCCUACGGGAGGCAGCAGUAGGGAAUCUUCCACAAUGGGCGCAAGCCUGAUGGAGCAACGCCGCGUGAAUGAAGAAGGUCUUCGGAUCGUAAAAUUCUGUUGUUAGAGAAGAAUAUGAGUAAUAGUAACUGAUUAUUCACUGACGGUAUCUAACCAGCAAGUCACGGCUAACUACGUGCCAGCAGCCGCGGUAAUACGUAGGUGGCAAGCGUUGUCCGGAUUUAUUGGGCGUAAAGGGAACGCAGGCUGUUUUUUAAGUCCGAUGUGAAAGCCUUCGGCUUAACCGAAGAAGUGCAUUGGAAACUGGGAGACUUGAGUGCAGAAGAGGAGAGUGGAACUCCAUGUGUAGCGGUGAAAUGCGUAGAUAUAUGGAAGAACACCAGUGGCGAAAGCGGCUCUCUGGUCUGUAACUGACGCUGAGGUUCGAAAGCAUGGGUAGCGAACAGGAUUAGAUACCCUGGUAGUCC
RNAcentral lists this ribosomal RNA (820 nucleotides) under uncultured bacterium. Its description in RNAcentral is "bacterial SSU rRNA". It matches the Rfam family "Bacterial small subunit ribosomal RNA", at positions 8 to 796 of the family's 1533-position model. The record is from RNAcentral.